UCGAUGGUGUGAAAAUAGUUCCUGAUGUCGAAUUCUAAAAACCAGCGAGAGGUUCCCCACUCUUCUUUGAUCCGUCUUAGGACCGAGUGGCAGCCUCGACCCGAGCGGAAGUGCGAUGUGUCUGGAAACUCGGAAUCGUAAAUGAAUUCGAGUACCAUUCUGAUCGCCUCUUUCAUGAUCUUUUCUAUAGGUAAAACGACUGUGAGCGGUCUAAACUUCAACCCUUAUUGCUUUCUUCAUAUUGUAAAGGGGAGCAAAGCCCUUUUUUUGCUCCCUCUAUUGAUGAUAGAUCAAGGGCCCUCCUGCCGUCGUUUCAGUGACUCAUAGGGCUUCCCUCAGCUCAGUCUUUUUGGUUCUUGAGAAUGGUCGCCGCCUCUCCCAGGACCGGAAUGAUUAUCCCUGCCCGAUGGGUCUACAUCCAUCCCUGAAUGUCGUCGGGUACUGUUCACUUCCCCGCCAUUCUUGUAACCGUCACCUGUAAUCCGCGCAAGUGUGUCCGCACCCCCCUGAGUGGACGAGAAAGAAAGGAUUUCUCAGAGCAACCCCCAGGAGUCAACUUUCCCGUAUGAGCAUUCGGUACAUGUAUCAGUCCGUGGAAAAGUGAAAGGGUCACCACUACUGAGGAUCUCCCCCCUAAUCUUAGAUAGGUCGUCUGAGGGUUCGCCGCGGUUCAUUGCUGUGCUUACACACUAGGCUACCCUUCUCCGAAAGCUCCGCGUGACCACCUACCACUAGUCUUCAGCCGGAAGGGUUUAUUGCACAAAAACGCCGGGACGCAGGCUCCCGAAGAGGGAAGCCCAACGAAUGUCAGAUGCAAAGCCCCGCACCUCAUUAAGAUCAUAUUGGCAUACUCUCC
RNAcentral lists this unclassified non-coding RNA (856 nucleotides) under Hevea brasiliensis (rubber tree). Lineage: Eukaryota; Viridiplantae; Streptophyta; Magnoliopsida; Malpighiales; Euphorbiaceae. The record is from RNAcentral.